Molecule: long non-coding RNA, 229 nt
Filed under: Elaeis guineensis (African oil palm)
Lineage: Eukaryota; Viridiplantae; Streptophyta; Magnoliopsida; Arecales; Arecaceae
Description: long non-coding RNA (EGUI_LNC073777)
Source: RNAcentral
GAUGGGAGCAACGUGACUCAAGCUUUUGUCCAUGCAUAAAACUCUGCUUUGUUCUGACAUACUUUUGAAGUCCUCAGAAUUACUUUGUCAUAGUUAAGAUCCUUGAAUGUGGAUUCUCAUAAUUAUGAACCCAUGACUCUGUUUGAAGUUGAUAUUAUUGACUUAGUUUGGCCCUUAAAUAGGAGUAUCGAAGCUGGAGGAUUCAUAAUCCUUGAGGUCACUUAGCUCA